AGGCUACCUGUGGUAGACAGAACAAAAGGUCACCUUUGGUAGACAGAACAAAAGGUUACCUGUGGUAGACAGAACAAAAGGUCACCUGUGGUAGACAGAACAAAAGGUCACCUGUGGUAGACAGAACAAAAGGUCACCUGUGGUAGACAGAACAAAAGGUUACCUGUGGUAGACAGAACAAAAGGUUACCUGUGGUAGACAGAACAAAAGGUCACCUGUGGUAGACAGAACAAAAGGUCACCUGUGGUAGACAGAACAAAAGGUUACCUGUGGUAGACAGAACAAAAGGUCACCUGUGGUAGACAGAACAAAAGGUUACCUGUGGUAGACAGAACAAAAGGCUGUUUGAACCAGUAG
This is a long non-coding RNA of Oncorhynchus tshawytscha (Chinook salmon), 357 nucleotides long. The record is from Ensembl. Lineage: Eukaryota; Metazoa; Chordata; Actinopteri; Salmoniformes; Salmonidae.